GGUGGGUUAUAUUUUGGUUGCGAGAUUCUACUCUAGUUAGGGUGUCGGGUUUCGUGGUUGGGUUAUUGAAAAGAUGGAUGAAGUGAAGGGAGGCUAGGUGAAUCACAUGUUGGGUUAUUUGUUGAUGGGAUCCGUUUUAGGAACUAAAUGGAGAUCCACGAAGAGAGCAUAAACUUAAACUAAGGCUAAGAUAUUAGAAGAAGAAGAAGGAAUUUCAAGCUUAUUCUUGUUUACCUUUAUGGUUACAACUAACUUCAAACAAAAAUCAAAAUUUUUAUGAAGUAAGGCUUUUUAAUUCUAUUAAAAAUAAGAAAUUCAAUAUUAAGAAGCCUUCUUCUAAAAAAUUAUUGCUAUAUAUCUUCUUGGUAAAAACAAAACUAAUUAGAAAUGUGUUUGAUGCUUAUUGCAGAUUAGCAUUUGAUCCAAGAGAAAUUCAUGUUAUCCCAAGAAAUAAAGAAAUAAAACCAUUUCAAGACGACCUGCUCCCAAGAUGUUGAGGAGCUUCUUGAUAAUAAAGGUGAUUGCCAGAUUUGAGGAGAAAUCCCUUUUCAAGAGGGAGGAAAUGAUGGCAUAUUUCUCAAUAAGCCUUCUCUAGUGUCCUCUAAUUGUAUUUUGAUGUUCAUUAUAUGGUUUUUAUAAGCUUGCAUGAAGCAUGUGUUACUAUAAAUACCCAACUUCACCAUUGUAUUCUCACUUUUGAGAUAAUUGAGAAUUGAGUUUUUGAAUUCUAGAACUGAUUUCCCCUUAAAAGUCAAGGCUAGAGAAUUCUAGGGAUCCUCCCCUAGCCACCUUCCACACACACUAUUCAUUCGUUCUUUCAGUUUGCACCUUCAGUUUCUAUCUCCUUCACCGAAGCCAAGUUCUCUAAUCUGCAUCUGCCUUUUGGCUCGCGUCAGCUAUCCACUAAACACCUCUCCACGAGCUAUCUAAAUUACCUCGCGUCAUCAACU
RNAcentral lists this long non-coding RNA (950 nucleotides) under Vigna radiata. RNAcentral describes it as "long non-coding RNA (VRAD_LNC005536)". The record is from RNAcentral. Lineage: Eukaryota; Viridiplantae; Streptophyta; Magnoliopsida; Fabales; Fabaceae.